Molecule: transfer RNA, 67 nt
Filed under: Indolestes peregrinus
Lineage: Eukaryota; Metazoa; Arthropoda; Insecta; Odonata; Lestidae
Description: tRNA-Leu
Source: RNAcentral
ACUGAAAAUUUUACUGUGCGACUCAGUAUAAUUUGAUUGAGUAAUUAAUUACUAUAAUUAUUUGUAU